CUUCAACGAGCCGAGCAGGAGCGGCCGUUCACGCUCUUGUCCAUAGGUCGCGAGGAGCGCCUGCGCCUC
Molecule: non-coding RNA, 69 nt
Organism: Streptomyces agglomeratus
Lineage: Bacteria; Bacillati; Actinomycetota; Actinomycetes; Kitasatosporales; Streptomycetaceae
Rfam family: ASpks TB sRNA
Source: Rfam